CGGGGUGGAGUAAUGUCUGGGAAACUGCCUGAUGGAGGGGGGUAACUACUGGAAACGGUAGCUAAUACCGCAUAACGUCGCAAGACCAAAGUGGGGGACCGUUCGGGCCUCAUGCCAUAAGAUGUGCCCAGAUGGGAUUAGCUAGUAGGUGGGGUAACGGCUCACCUAGGCGACGAUCCCUAGCUGGUCUGAGAGGAUGACCAGCCACACUGGAACUGAGACACGGUCCAG
RNAcentral lists this ribosomal RNA (231 nucleotides) under uncultured bacterium. RNAcentral describes it as "partial 16S ribosomal RNA". It matches the Rfam family "Bacterial small subunit ribosomal RNA", at positions 104 to 334 of the family's 1533-position model. The record is from RNAcentral.